CCAAUAGCGUAUAUUAAAGUUGUUGCAGUUAAAAAGCUCGUAGUUGAACUUCGGGGUUUACUCAUUGGUCAGGCUUAAUUGUCUGUACUGGUGAGCUGAAUCUCUACCUUCUGAGGAACUUUCAUGCCUUUUAUUUGGUGUGAUGGGAAAUCAGGACUGUUACUUUGAAAAAAUUAGAGUGUUUAAAGCAGGCUAACGUCUGAAUACAUUAGCAUGGAAUAAUGAAAUAGGACGGAUUGAUUCUAUUUCGUUGGUUUCUAGGAUCACCGUAAUGAUUAAUAGGGAUAGUUGGGGGCAUUAGUAUUCAAUUGUCAGAGGUGAAAUUCUUGGAUUUAUUGAAGACUAACUACUGCGAAAGCAUUUGCCAAGGAUGUUUUCAUUAAUCAAGAACGAAAGUUAGGGGAUCGAAGACGAUCAGAUACCGUCGUAGUCUUAACCAUAAACUAUGCCGACUAGGGAUCGGACGAAGUUAAUUUUUUAAUGACUCGUUUGGCACCUUACG
This 502-nucleotide ribosomal RNA is filed under the name uncultured Glomeromycotina. Its description in RNAcentral is "partial small subunit ribosomal RNA". It matches the Rfam family "Eukaryotic small subunit ribosomal RNA", at positions 591 to 1092 of the family's 1831-position model. Lineage: Eukaryota; Fungi; Glomeromycota. The record is from RNAcentral.